This is a long non-coding RNA of Centruroides sculpturatus (bark scorpion), 479 nucleotides long. RefSeq lists it as uncharacterized. The transcript is spliced from 4 exons. The record is from RefSeq and is a predicted model, not a curated record. NCBI's taxonomy places the organism in Eukaryota, Metazoa, Arthropoda, Arachnida, Scorpiones, Buthidae.
AAAGUAGAAAUUUGACGGAUGCUUCAAAAUAUCUGUUCUAUCGUCGAACCAUGAUGGCUAAGUUGAUACUCUUGGUCCUCUUUAUUUCCUUAUAUGCAGCUUUCGCCGAAGCGAGAGUAUGCAAUCCGUCUGCUGGAGCGUCUAGUCUCUCAGGGGUCGAUAUGAUGCUUAGCGUCGUUCUGGUCGUUGCAUUCAGUUGUCUUCACAAAUACCUGAUUUUUAAAUGAUGUGGAACUGAAACUAAAGAUUUAUUCUAAACAGAAAUAUAAAAUUUCAAUUUUGUAAUCUAAUCGGUUGAUAAUUUUUUAUUAUUAUAAAAAAAUGGACAAGGAUUAUAUACAGUAGAUAGCUGUUGUAAUAAAUAAUCUAUUAGAAAAAUCUUCAAUAUUGUUACCUCAGGUAUAAAAGAGUUUGUUUAUUUUGACGAAUCAAAAUAUGUAAAUGUAAAAUUACGAAUAAAGCAUAUUAAAUUAUGAGAA